Molecule: RNA transcript, 1798 nt
Organism: Prosopis cineraria
Lineage: Eukaryota; Viridiplantae; Streptophyta; Magnoliopsida; Fabales; Fabaceae
Exons: 5
Source: RefSeq, a predicted model, not a curated record
ACUGAAGUUACUAUUGAAGGAAUGAUUUUGUCCCCCUAAAAACAAGUGAAAGUCUGAGGGAUUAGUUCGGAGCGUGCGAGUGGUUCGCCAGUGAGUAGCCGCUGUUGACCGUCAUCCUCCGGCAGGUGAAAUCGAAGGCGUGCGCAGACUCCUUUAUGGCGGCGUCGUUUAGGUGGAUUUUACAACUUCACAAGGACGUCCCCAAAGCUGCUCGAUUCUACGCGGAAGGCUUGGACUUCACCGUCGACGUCUGCACUCUUCGUUGGGCUGAACUUCGAUCCGGUCCCCUCAAGCUUGCCCUAAUGUAUUCUCCCAGUAACCAUGGUUUGCAGGAGGGAUACUCCUCGCUGCUAUCAUUUACAGUUACUGACAUCAACAGCACAGUGACUAAAUUAAUGUCAUUAGGAGCUGAGCUAGAUGGUCCUAUAAAACAUGAGAUCCAUGGAAAGGUUGCCGCUAUGAGGUGUAUUGAUGGGCACGUUUUGGGCCUGUAUGAACCAGCAUAAGAUGGGACCUCUAUUAACACUAAAACUAAGGAUGGUAGCUUGAGCUCGUUUGGGGAGACAAAGAAAACUUGCAGCAUGUUAUUCUCCAUUUUUUUGGAUUCUCUGCAUUUGUGGCAAAGGCCAAAGCAUUGUUGUUCACUGGGUCGGCAAGGUGAUCAGCAAGGUUUUCCAGUGGGCUCUAUCCAGUCACAAUGGCCUGAACAAAGAAUCCAAACAUUGAGAACAUGGCCAAUCUGCCAUUCUUAAUCUCCUUCACCUUAAACUCAGCAAAAGCUUCUGGGUCAUCAGCCAAGCCCAAUGGAUCAAAGGUUCCACCUGGGUAGAGUGGGUCGGUCACCUCUCCAAGAGGCCCACCAGCAAUAUGGUAGCCCUCCACGGCAACCAUCAAGAUCACUUGGCAAGCCCAAAUUGCAAGGAUGCCAAGCCCAAGUAGUCAAGCCCACACUCUCUAAAGACCUGGGAUCCGGCCUUUAACCAUACAAAGAGUGCAGGGCAGACACAACCCAAAGCUCCAAGCAUGGCCCGCCUCACAUGGAUGACUUCAAGCUCACAGUUCCUAGCAAAGGUCUUUGGGUUAGCAGAGAGCCCAGCAGUGUCCCAAUGGUAGGCACCAGAGAACUCAACAAUCAAGUAGGAUGGGGGCAACUGGUGCCAGAAUGAGACAGAGGAUGGUCUUCACAUAGUUCGGGACUGUGUGUAUGCUCAGAGUGUUUGGAGGAAAUUGGUGCGUGCAAGCCUCUCAAUCUCAAGUGGUUACCGCCUCCUUAUGGGUGGGUAAAGAUGAAUGUAGAUGGGGCUAUGUCUCUAGUGGACCAUAAAGCUAGGUGUGGUGAUGUCUUAUGGGACCAUGAGGGCUACUAGAUAGCAGGCUUCUGUCAUGUUCUAGGAGCGUGCAGCGCCUACGAAGCAGAAGAAUGGGCUGUGCUAAGAAGUCUUAGGCUUCUUUGGGAUUUUGGUUUCAAGAAAGUGCUACCAGAAUCCGAUCGCAAGGAAUUGGUUGACCAAAUUCAUACAUCUACGGACAGUUCAAGGGUAGCAAUGUCCUUGCUGAGGUAACCAAUAUGCUUCAAUGGAGUUGGAAAGUCAAGGUUCAUUUUGUUAAGCGGGAACAAAGCCAAGUGGCAGACUUACUAAGGAAGGAAUUAUUUGUUCUUCUUCGUUUGAGGUUGCUCCUACGUUUUUAAGGAGUUUAGUUUCUUUGGAUAGUUUGGGAUCUCAAUCCCCUUCUUUGUAAUUUGCUUUAUAAUAUAUAGGGUAUAACCUUCUUUUCUACCAAAAAAAAAAAAACAAAA